ACGCUGGCGGCGUGCCUAAUACAUGCAAGUAGAACGCUGAAGGAGGAGCUUGCUCCUUUCUGGAUGAGUUGCGAACGGGUGAGUAACGCGUAGGUAACCUGCCUGGUAGCGGGGGAUAACUAUUGGAAACGAUAGCUAAUACCGCAUAACAGUAGAUGUUGCAUGACAUUUGCUUAAAAGGUGCAAUUGCAUCACUACCAGAUGGACCUGCGUUGUAUUAGCUAGUUGGUGGGGUAACGGCUCACCAAGGCGACGAUACAUAGCCGACCUGAGAGGGUGAUCGGCCACACUGGGACUGAGACACGGCCCAGACUCCUACGGGAGGCAGCAGUAGGGAAUCUUCGGCAAUGGACGGAAGUCUGACCGAGCAACGCCGCGUGAGUGAAGAAGGUUUUCGGAUCGUAAAGCUCUGUUGUAAGAGAAGAACGAGUGUGAGAGUGGAAAGUUCACGCUGUGACGGUAUCUUACCAGAAAGGGACGGCUAACUACGUGCCAGCAGCCGCGGUAAUACGUAGGUCCCGAGCGUUGUCCGGAUUUAUUGGGCGUAAAGCGAGCGCAGGCGGUUAGAUAAGUCUGAAGUUAAAGGCUGUGGCUUAACCAUAGUACGCUUUGGAAACUGUUUAACUUGAGUGCAAGAGGGGAGAGUGGAAUUCCAUGUGUAGCGGUGAAAUGCGUAGAUAUAUGGAGGAACACCGGUGGCGAAAGCGGCUCUCUGGCUUGUAACUGACGCUGAGGCUCGAAAGCGGGGGGAGCAAACAGGAUUAGAUACCCUGGUAGUCCACGCCGUAAACGAUGAGUGCUAGGUGUUAGACCCUUUCCGGGGUUUAGUGCCGCAGCUAACGCAUUAAGCACUCCGCCUGGGGAGUACGACCGCAAGGUUGAAACUCAAAGGAAUUGACGGGGGCCCGCACAAGCGGUGGAGCAUGUGGUUU
Molecule: ribosomal RNA, 932 nt
Filed under: uncultured bacterium
Lineage: Bacteria
Description: bacterial SSU rRNA
Rfam family: Bacterial small subunit ribosomal RNA
Source: RNAcentral